This 1621-nucleotide long non-coding RNA is filed under the name Homo sapiens (human). RNAcentral describes it as "LHRI_LNC2056.1". The record is from RNAcentral. Lineage: Eukaryota; Metazoa; Chordata; Mammalia; Primates; Hominidae.
GAAAAUACAUAAGCCACCUGUUUCAGCAGUUAGGAGAUCUAGUCCCCUUCAAUUUUGCAAAGCGACCACUGCCAAGGAGCCUAUCUGAAUUUGUAAGGUGACAAUACUUUGAGCAAUGUUAUCCAGGCUUUCCAUAAAAUCCUUGGACAAGCGUUGGUAAUAGGAUAGGGAAGUUGCAAUCCCGCUAACUCCCAUUCCUACCCCUGCUGUUAUUCCUAGCCGUUGUGUCUGGUGGUUGCAGUUAAAGGUAUAAUGAGGGAUUGGUUGUUGGGAGCUAUAUUAAUUUAGGGACAUACAAUAUUUCUGUCUCCAGUCUACCACUUCCACCAAAGACAAAUCACAGCAGAACCGACCUAACUUCAAAAUAAACUUCAGUCCCGUAUACUGGGCCUGAUUACCCACACAAAGUGCAACAAGAAUCAUUGUCCAUAUAGACUCUCCUAGAUUGGCUUUGCUAGAACAUUUCACAAGGCCAUUUCAGUCAAAGUCCUGAGAAAGUAACCGGUUUCAAUUGUGCCCUAUUACAAAAGAAAACGUGGUUAUUAACUUUAUACAGACAAAUGCCAUGAAUUAAGAAUAUUCAUAAAUAGUUUACAAAUUCUGGAGAAAUUAGAAUACUCAAUACACUUAAAGUGUAUUUCAAGGCUAUAAAUAGCUCAAAAUAAAAAGAUUAUUCAGACUCUGAAAAAACAAAAAGAAGUAGCAAUAUUUCAAACAACAAAAGCCAUACAAAUUAUUUCAGUCUUCCAUUAGUUCAUUUCAGUCCAUGUAAUCAACUCCUGCUCUACUUCAUAUUCAUCUUUAUGAACACAUCAGCCUUUCAAUUAGUGCCUUGGAAGUUUUCUGUCUAAUCCAAUGGCACACUCUCCAAAGUUACCAGAAACCUGCAUUCAAGAGUUCUUUUCAUGAACUCCAAAGAAGUAAGCCUUGGACUGUAGCUGAUUAUAAGUCACUUUUUUUUUUUGAGAAGGAUCACAGCAAAACAUCAAUUAUGGAUGACAAAAGUCUUAAGACAGCCAUAAAGACACAGUUGACAAAUGUGGCUAUUUCUGUGGCUUACAACAAUUUAACAUAAUCAUUACAACAUAUAUUAAGACAUAUCAGAAUUUUAGAACUCUCAUACAAUCCUGGAACACAUAUUAACAACAAAUCUCUAUCAGUAUAACCCAAAGGAAGCUAAACACCACUUCACACUUGACAAUGUUUCCUGUAUAAUUCAAACAUUACAAAUAAGCCUAAUAUGUCACUCUUGAACUUCAGGAAGCCUAAUAUCCAAAAAGUUAGUUUAGGGUCAAAAGUUUUUGAAUUAACUUUUUUCCAUUAGUAUGGUCAUAUCUUUCUUACUAAUUUGUAAGUUAUGUAAUUUAUCAAUUUUUUUGUUGUUGUUCUGUUUCCCAACCUCUAUGUCAGAUAAAGAAUCACCCAGGCCAGACACAAUGGCUCAUGCUUGUGAUCCCAACACUUUGGGAAGCCAAGGUGGGAGAAUUGCUUGAAGCCAGGAAUCUGAGCCCAGCCUGGGCGACAAAGCAAUACCCCUAUCUCUACAAAAAAUAAAAAAUAGCCAGGUGUAGCGACACACACCUGUGGUCCCAGCUGCUCGGGAGGCUGAGCAGGAGGAUGG